Molecule: ribosomal RNA, 443 nt
Filed under: uncultured Bacteroidota bacterium
Lineage: Bacteria; Pseudomonadati; Bacteroidota
Description: bacterial SSU rRNA
Rfam family: Bacterial small subunit ribosomal RNA
Source: RNAcentral
CUACGGAUUGUAAACUUCUUUUAUAAGGGAAUAAACCCUCCCACGUGUGGGAGCUUGUAUGUACCUUAUGAAUAAGCAUCGGCUAACUCCGUGCCAGCAGCCGCGGUAAUACGGAGGAUGCGAGCGUUAUCCGGAUUUAUUGGGUUUAAAGGGAGCGCAGACGGGUCGUUAAGUCAGCUGUGAAAGUUUGGGGCUCAACCUUAAAAUUGCAGUUGAUACUGGCGUCCUUGAGUGCGGUUGAGGUGUGCGGAAUUCGUGGUGUAGCGGUGAAAUGCUUAGAUAUCACGAAGAACUCCGAUUGCGAAGGCAGCACACUAAUCCGUAACUGACGUUCAUGCUCGAAAGUGUGGGUAUCAAACAGGAUUAGAUACCCUGGUAGUCCACACGGUAAACGAUGGAUACUCGCUGUUGGCGAUAUACUGUCAGCGGCUUAGCAAAGCGUU